AGUUCAUGUAAUCUGCAAUGAAGUGUCUUUUUUUCCUGGGUUUUUCUUGCUGGUACUUGUAUGUACACACACACACACACGCGCACACACACACCAUGUACCCUCACACAUAAGCACACACAUACAUACUCACAUAGGCAUGCACACUCAUACACGCAUACAUGUACACUCACACACACUCACACACACAAUCUAAAGAAAUAGGGUCAGCCUCGUAUACGAUAAGCAGCAUUCCCAGGGGAUAGCAUCGAAGGCUGAGCCCCUGUUCUGGGCAAGAGAAUGCAAACUGAAAAACCUGUUUCCUCAGCUGGUGUCUGACAGAGCCCGUGAUCUCCCGUGGCCACGUGCAAGCACUGUGACAAAGCCGUUAUGUGGCUCAUUGCUCAUGUCCAAAGGAGCACAUGUCGUAAGGAGGCCAAAGAAAGGGCAUUGGAUCCCCUGGAGCUGAGAUUACAGGCACUUCCGGGCCGGCCAGUCUGGGUGCUGGGAGUACUUGUGAGUGGGUGCAUCUCUGUUUCACCUCCUGUUCAUUUUCAAGCUUGUCGGAAACGUGACCUUCUGGGUGAGCUUGGCUGUUCCUAGUUUUCCACUCCAUGCUCCCGGUUUGGGUGGAGUAGAGGGAGAGUCUAGCUUAGAGGAGUUGAGAUGGAGGAAUAGCUAGACUAGCAGGCAUUCAUGGGGUCUAGUGUUUCCUAUUCCAUUGUAGCUGGCUGGGGGCACCUUUAAAAGGAACAAUCCGAUUGUAUUUGUUACAUCUCAGCUAGAACCUUACAUUUGGGGGUGGGGUGCAGAAGAUGAGAAGAAUACAGAAAUUAGAUAAAAGGUAG
RNAcentral lists this long non-coding RNA (827 nucleotides) under Cricetulus griseus (Chinese hamster). RNAcentral describes it as "lncRNA (ENSCGRG00015034677.1)". The record is from RNAcentral. Lineage: Eukaryota; Metazoa; Chordata; Mammalia; Rodentia; Cricetidae.